AAUAUAACGACAGAGGUAAAAUAUAUCUUGCUAUAUAAAUAUCCUUAAAACGGCAGGGGUAUCUCCAGCCACGUAGUUUUUUUUAUUAUUAUUUUUAUGAAAUGUCCAAAUAGAUCCUCAUCUGUCGGCUUAGGUAGGCUAGAUCUAGCUACAUAGUUACGGCAUCUAAUUAACCGCAAGGUGUGACAUAUUCACCCUAUCGUAUAGAAACAACAGAAAUACCAGUGACUCGGAGAAGGAUUUUUAUAGAAGCCGGUGUAUUCGGGGGGGUGGGGGGGGGGACCGGUGCAGCUGUAAAAAAGGGAGGUCGGCGGCUCCAGGGGGACGAAACAAGGUCCCGGGAUGGGGGGCUCACCAGCCCCCGUCCCCCAUUCUUCGGAGCCGCCGGAGGAAAAGAGACCGAGGGUCUCGGGGGCCGCCGAACCGGACUGCCGGCCCGCGAGCGACCGGGGUGGCUCUUGUUUGUUUUUAUUUCUAGAGAAAGAGAUCGCGCCCCGGAGGCGAAAGGCGUUGGAGAAUUAGCGCUGCACGAAGCCCGAGCCCCGUCUCUCUCUCCGCAGGAUCAGAAAGGAAGGAGUGCGCGACCCAGACGCCGUAGCGAUACAUCGGUGAUAUUGCUAAUAGAAUAUCCUUAUUGAAACAAGUCAAUACAUCACCCACAAUCCACACACACAAUUCCUCUCCCUCUCUCCUUCCUGAUCUCCACCCGCUUUAAACUCCUGCCAGCGAAAUGAACUUGAAACGGCAUCUUCGUGAGCGCUUAGAAAAUACAGCGAGUUCCUGAACUCCGACCUUCGUGGGAAGGAAAGAACCCGGGCCCUGAAAACAAAUAAAUUCAACAUGUUUUACUUAUCUAAUCUUCCUUUUUCUCAUAAACAUAUAUUAUAUCUAUAUGUAUAUCAUAUACAUUAAGGUGGGGGGGGGGGAGAUAGAGAAGGAAAGGGAGAGAGAAAAGGAGGAGAGAGGGUGGUGGGAUGAGAGAGGAAGAGGGAGAGUGCGAGCUAGUUGCGAAUGAUCCUAACGGGGAAGGGGGCUGGGGACAAGAGUCAGGGGACGAAGACAUCAGUGAGGGAAGAGGCGAAGAGCGCCCAGGAAAGGCAGGUAGGCUGCUUUGGCUUCCUUUUCCGCUUUCUUUCCUCAAAUGGAAAGAUUGCAGGGUGUCCGCAGGCGUC
Molecule: long non-coding RNA, 1172 nt
Filed under: Ornithorhynchus anatinus (platypus)
Lineage: Eukaryota; Metazoa; Chordata; Mammalia; Monotremata; Ornithorhynchidae
Description: lncRNA (ENSOANG00000043370.1)
Source: RNAcentral